UUACACAGCUCCUGUUCAUGAGUCACUAUCAGAUGGCUAUCUGCUUAUUGCUGCUAGUGGAGGGCUGAUUCAACAAAGAACUGGAUGGCGGUUGGAAGGGAUUUUCAUUUGCUCAAAAGUUACUAUCGGGUGAUAUUCUGUUCUUUCAUCUAGUUGGAAGCUGCAAGCUACAGGAGACGUCGUAAACGAGGAAAAUGGAGAUGGAAGGUCGAUAAGGA
This is a long non-coding RNA of Helianthus annuus (common sunflower), 218 nucleotides long. RefSeq lists it as uncharacterized. The transcript has 3 exons. NCBI's taxonomy places the organism in Eukaryota, Viridiplantae, Streptophyta, Magnoliopsida, Asterales, Asteraceae. The record is from RefSeq and is a predicted model, not a curated record.